This 478-nucleotide ribosomal RNA is filed under the name Weissella paramesenteroides. RNAcentral's name for it is "bacterial SSU rRNA". It matches the Rfam family "Bacterial small subunit ribosomal RNA", at positions 57 to 493 of the family's 1533-position model. The record is from RNAcentral. Lineage: Bacteria; Bacillati; Bacillota; Bacilli; Lactobacillales; Lactobacillaceae.
GCAGUCGAACGCUUUGUCUUUACUUGAUCUGAAGAGCUUGCUCUGAUUUGAUUUUAUCUGACAAAGAGUGGCGAACGGGUGAGUAACACGUGGGUAACCUACCUCUUAGCAGGGGAUAACAUUUGGAAACAAGUGCUAAUACCGUAUAAUACCAACAACCGCAUGGUUGUUGGUUGAAAGAUGGUUCUGCUAUCACUAAGAGAUGGACCCGCGGUGCAUUAGCUAGUUGGUAAGGUAACGGCUUACCAAGGCAAUGAUGCAUAGCCGAGUUGAGAGACUGAUCGGCCACAAUGGGACUGAGACACGGCCCAUACUCCUACGGGAGGCAGCAGUAGGGAAUCUUCCACAAUGGGCGCAAGCCUGAUGGAGCAACGCCGCGUGUGUGAUGAAGGGUUUCGGCUCGUAAAACACUGUUAUAAGAGAAGAACGGCACUGAGAGUAACUGUUCAGUGUGUGACGGUAUCUUACCAGAAAGGAC